Brachypodium distachyon (stiff brome) is the source of this 788-nucleotide long non-coding RNA. RefSeq lists it as uncharacterized. The record is from RefSeq and is a predicted model, not a curated record. Lineage: Eukaryota; Viridiplantae; Streptophyta; Magnoliopsida; Poales; Poaceae. The transcript has 4 exons.
ACCCAAUGCAUGCAUGUAUGUUCAUAAGAAACGGAAAUUUAAAAAUGUUUAACUCCCAAACCGUUUACUCAAUUUAAGUUUCGUCUUCACGGUUAAUUUUGUCUCGACGAGAUCUUCAAAAUGAGAUCUUAUCUUAAUACGUUACGAUUUCCGUUUAAUUUUAACUCUGAAACCACGACACGGGAAUAACCUCUAAAAAAACUAAAAACACCCGGAAAAAAAAGAAAAUUCCCACAUUUCCGCCCGCCGUCGUCUGUCCUCCUCGCCGUCCUCCCACUCUCUUCGCUCGCCGGCGUAUCUGCUUGCGCUCCGCCACAGCGUGGGCCGCUAAAUACGAGGAAACCUAGGCCUAGGGCUCGAGGAGGCGGCAGGCGGCGACCUAGCUCUCCGACUCGGUGCCGGCCGCGACCUCGGCUCCCCCGCCACCGACCCGGCUCCGGACGGCGCAUGACUCCCGGAGUGGCGAUGGAAGCUUUUACAUGAGAGGCGAUGGGUAGGCACCUGCGCUGCCGCUAUUUCAGCUACAUGAUUGCAAUUAAAUAGUUCCCGCGUGCAGAUAUAAAGUUGCAGUAUGGGCUGACUUGGUCUGGGUCUGCUUGAAAGCAAUACAUGUAAAUAAACCCAUGGUGUGGGGUGUCCAGAUAUCACGGUUUUGGAUGGUGUCGAGCUCGAUGGCGAAGAUAUGGUUGCUCAAGUUCCCAUUGUCUAGGGAGUUCAUGAAACCCAAGUAUUGGGAGCCCAGUGCAUCUGAGAAGUUCGUUCUUGGGGCAAUGAUGAAAGCCAUGCCA